UCUGGUGAUUUGAGCGGAGGGGAAACACCCUGUUCCAUCCCGAACCAGGAAGUUAAGCCCUCCAGCGCCGAUGGUACUUGGGGCGCAGGCCCCUGGGAGAGUAGGUCAUUGCCAGGA
RNAcentral lists this ribosomal RNA (117 nucleotides) under Chloroflexota bacterium. RNAcentral also lists the same sequence under 1 other name. The record is from RNAcentral. Lineage: Bacteria; Bacillati; Chloroflexota.